ACGCUCGACACCUACUGGAGGCAGCAGUGGGGAAUAUUGCACAAUGGGGGAAACCCUGAUGCAGCGACGCCGCGUGAGCGAAGAAGUAUUUCGGUAUGUAAAGCUCUAUCAGCAGGGAAGAAACUGACGGUACCUGACUAAGAAGCACCGGCUAAAUACGUGCCAANGCCGCCGGUAAGUACUGAGCGGGCGUGGCGAAGGACG
This 204-nucleotide ribosomal RNA is filed under the name uncultured bacterium. Its description in RNAcentral is "partial 16S ribosomal RNA". It matches the Rfam family "Bacterial small subunit ribosomal RNA", at positions 328 to 544 of the family's 1533-position model. The record is from RNAcentral.